GGGCAUAUAGCUUAGUUGGUAGAGCAGCCGACUCUUAAUCGGCAGGUCCUUGGUUCGAACCCAAGUAUGCCCACCA
Molecule: transfer RNA, 76 nt
Filed under: Pelobacter propionicus DSM 2379
Lineage: Bacteria; Pseudomonadati; Thermodesulfobacteriota; Desulfuromonadia; Desulfuromonadales; Desulfuromonadaceae
Also listed under: 1 other name
Description: tRNA-Lys (CTT) (tRNA-Lys-CTT-1-1)
Rfam family: tRNA
About the family: Transfer RNA (tRNA) molecules are approximately 80 nucleotides in length.
Source: RNAcentral